GGCGGUAGGUUUUAGUACGUAGAAAUCGUACUUGUUGCUACUAAGGAACCAGCAGUAUCUUUUGAAGAUUUCCUACCUCC
This is a non-coding RNA of Glossina morsitans morsitans, 80 nucleotides long. The record is from Rfam. Lineage: Eukaryota; Metazoa; Arthropoda; Insecta; Diptera; Glossinidae.